Molecule: transfer RNA, 74 nt
Filed under: Vibrio cholerae O1 str. Nep-21113
Lineage: Bacteria; Pseudomonadati; Pseudomonadota; Gammaproteobacteria; Vibrionales; Vibrionaceae
Description: partial tRNA-Gly
Rfam family: tRNA
About the family: Transfer RNA (tRNA) molecules are approximately 80 nucleotides in length.
Source: RNAcentral
GCGGGCAUCGUAUAAUGGCUAUUACCUCAGCCUUCCAAGCUGAUGAUGCGGGUUCGAUUCCCGCUGCCCGCUCC